GCUCGUGUUGUNAGAUGUUGGGUUAAGUCCCGCAACGAGCGCAACCCUUGUCCUUAUUUGSUUCCUCGUAUGAGGUGCUCUAUAAGGAGACUGCCGGCGACAAGCCGGAGGAAGGAGGGGACGACGUCAGGUCAGUAUGCCCUUUAUGCCCUGGGCUACACAGGCGCUACAGUGGCAAGGACAAUGAGUAGCGAGAGUGCAAGCUCAAGCUAAUCUCACAAACCUUGUCGUGGUGCGAAUUGAAGGUUGAAACUCACCUUCAUGAAGCCGGAAUCGGUAGUAAUGGCGUAUCAGCUAUGUCGCCGUGAAUACG
Molecule: ribosomal RNA, 313 nt
Filed under: uncultured bacterium
Lineage: Bacteria
Description: bacterial SSU rRNA
Rfam family: Bacterial small subunit ribosomal RNA
Source: RNAcentral